UCUGCUUGCCCUUAAAGACCCAUUGCUGGUUGCAACAUAUUGAGGCCAGAAACAAACAAAAAUAUUCCCCGACAAGGCUCACUCGAUGGAUCUGCAAAGGGUUGUAUCUUUGGACUUGUGGUCGGUCUCCCUCGAAUAACUGUUGGCAACAUCAAGCGUCAACAGUCAACAGUCAACAGUUACAUCCUCCGCACAAACAAUCUAAAAACCGUUCAUGGUCAUUGUGCCAUAAAUGGCAAACGAAACGAAAUUGAAAUUAAGCAAAUGAGUGGGAAACCAGACAGACUGUGCGAUGUAUGAGAUGAGGCAACAAAAGGAGAAGAACGGCAGCAACAGCAGCAGCAGCAAGAGCGGUGGGAGCAAGCUCAGAAAAACAAGUUGCUGUCUCCGAGGUCCAAAAGUCUAGCGGAUCAGCAGCGGCGGCGGCGGCAGCGGCGGCGCAGCGAAGGCGGAUGCGCACCUUAGAAGCCAAAUGAGGAGCUCUAGCGGAUGCUGUGCCUCUUCAACUGGGCCAAAAACCAAAGCAGCUUCCAACCAAUGACAGACAAUGCCUGCAGCUUGGUUGGGGCCGGGGAAUGGGUUUGGGUUGGCGUUGUUGGCCCACAUGUCCCACGCUUGAAUUUACAUGCACGCACAGGCAUACAGGCACAGACGUGCACAGACAGGCACGGCACACACAUAUCCAAGGCAGCUAACGGUACACUCUUUACGCAAUCCCAAGCCAAGAAUGUGGAAAAAGAGACAGCGAGAGAGAAAGAAAGCAGAAAGCGUCGUCAAUGGAAAAGGGAGAGAAAGGGUUUUCUUUCAAAUCCGCUGGUAUCAUAAAAAUAAAUAAAAUAAAAUAAAAAAAAGCCCGCGCGACGCUUUCAACAUCCACAGAAAGAAACAGAAUGAAAGAGAAAGAGAG
Drosophila pseudoobscura is the source of this 907-nucleotide long non-coding RNA. RefSeq lists it as uncharacterized. The record is from RefSeq and is a predicted model, not a curated record. NCBI's taxonomy places the organism in Eukaryota, Metazoa, Arthropoda, Insecta, Diptera, Drosophilidae. The transcript is spliced from 2 exons.